ACUCGAGUGGCGAGCGGGUGAGUAACACGUGGGUGAUCUGCCCUGCACUUCGGGAUAAGCCUGGGAAACUGGGUCUAAUACCGGAUAGGAGCCAUUUUUAGUGUGAUGGUUGGAAAGUUUUUCGGUGUAGGAUGAGCUCGCGGCCUAUCAGCUUGUUGGUGGGGUAAUGGCCUACCAAGGCGGCGACGGGUAGCCGGCCUGAGAGGGCGGACGGCCACAUUGGGACUGAGAUACGGCCCAG
RNAcentral lists this ribosomal RNA (241 nucleotides) under uncultured Actinomycetales bacterium. RNAcentral describes it as "partial 16S ribosomal RNA". It matches the Rfam family "Bacterial small subunit ribosomal RNA", at positions 89 to 334 of the family's 1533-position model. The record is from RNAcentral. Lineage: Bacteria; Bacillati; Actinomycetota; Actinomycetes; Actinomycetales.